Non-coding RNA from Vicia faba (fava bean), 276 nucleotides. The record is from the annotation of a GenBank genome assembly. NCBI's taxonomy places the organism in Eukaryota, Viridiplantae, Streptophyta, Magnoliopsida, Fabales, Fabaceae.
AUGAAGAAUCCAAAAGAAGUACAAAGAAAAGCAUCAAGUGUCAUUGAACUUUCAAGCAUGGAAUCAUUACAAAUACCAUUUCAAAAUCAUAAGCUCAUUGUCCUUACCAUCAAUACAUUUACAUCAAAAAUACUCCUAAGCCUAAACUCCUUCAUGCCAUGUUUCAUGUUUAUCCUCUUCAAACUAUGUACACCCGUACCUUUUAUUCCAUCUUCAUGCGAAAGCCUACGCCUUCACUAUGCCCCAGCUAAUCCUCAAAGCCGUCUCCAUUCAUGA